This is a long non-coding RNA of Lemur catta (Ring-tailed lemur), 478 nucleotides long. RefSeq lists it as uncharacterized. Lineage: Eukaryota; Metazoa; Chordata; Mammalia; Primates; Lemuridae. The record is from RefSeq and is a predicted model, not a curated record. The transcript is spliced from 3 exons.
CAACUACAUACUGGAGAUAAAUAAGGGAACCUGGCAUGCUGAAGGAAGAACAAAUGGCUCAGAGUGACCUGGGGAAGAAUGAUGACAGAGGGAACAAUUUAAGGAGAAUAACCUUGACAUUAGAUUAAUGUAGAAUGAAAUUGAAGUUUCCACAAACUGUAAACAUCUCCGCCGUGUGACCAGAAUGAUGUCAGCGGAGCCGGCGAUCUGAGGCCAAGAGUGAACUGUGAAGGGAUGUCCGCUAACGGCAGUUGAAGACGGGGAGCUGGUUUGGCUUUGACUUUUAAAAAUUGCCAGAGAAGCGUGUUCUGUGUCUCUCCUGCUCUGAAAGGAGCUGGAAGCUUGCGGGUACCUGAGAGCUGAUGGCCUCCAAUCUGCCUUCCCAUGAAAAUUCUUGGCCCUUUGCCUGGUUUACCUUAGAGUUUGUAUUGCCUCAUUUUUCUUAUUUUCCACCGAUGCCCUGCCCUGAAGAACUUUU